UUGCAAAUACAAUUUCUAAAUUAGGAAAGUCGCUAUGGCUUUGCUCUGCCCCUUUGGAGACACUUGCUUGAGCUCAGAAUGAUGCCAUGGCCAGCGUGCCAGGAGAAAAUGCUGUCUCCAUUGUCUCCAAAUGCAGCAGGGUUGUAAAGGUGUCCUUAAGAAAAAAUUCUUUCCUUGUUUUAGUCUUAGAGGGAUCAUGCGUGUUAAGUUCAAGCAGAACAUUCUAGAUAGGGAUGGAGGCAGAACCGUAUCAGUAAGUAGAAGCAAGCGACCGUGGAUGUCUGGUUUGGAUGGAGAGGCAGGAUUUUAUGCCGUUAGGUUAUGAGCUAGGAGCCAGCUCAGCGUAGCUGUUUUGGAUCUUUGAUCUCCAAACGUGCCUCAAAAGCUGGGCCUGGAAGCUGGGCGCUGGCAUCCCGGAGCACCCUGGUGGUGGUCACCAGCCCAGAGUAGAUUCCUGAUGGUUGGCCAAGUGCAAAGGGAGGUUUGUGAAACCCACUCACCUGACAUUCCUGAGUGUGCAGGUGAGAGACUGGCUGUGUGUUCACCGGGAAGCUUUCACCGCCAUCUCUUAAGUAAGGGCUGUGGGUCAUGAUCUAGGUUUCUAAAGACCAGUGGUUUUCCUUUCCAAUGAGACUUCAUUUGAACAAAGUAUCUUUCGUUUGUCACUUUUCCUCCUUUUUAAACUUAGAAAAAUAUUUGACACACACCAAAAGAAAUGUUUUAAAAUCAUCUUGGAUUUGUGUCCCAUUUCACUUUUGCUUUGUGACUUCUCCGUUUAACAAUAAAUGAUCUAAAACAUAAA
Molecule: long non-coding RNA, 802 nt
Filed under: Rattus norvegicus (Norway rat)
Lineage: Eukaryota; Metazoa; Chordata; Mammalia; Rodentia; Muridae
Description: long non-coding RNA NONRATT004591
Source: RNAcentral